Molecule: ribosomal RNA, 503 nt
Filed under: uncultured bacterium
Lineage: Bacteria
Description: partial 16S ribosomal RNA
Rfam family: Bacterial small subunit ribosomal RNA
Source: RNAcentral
AUUGAACGCUGGCGGCAGGCUUAACACAUGCAAGUCGAGCGGGGUGAUGGUGCUUGCACUAUCACUUAGCGGCGGACGGGUGAGUAAUGCUUAGGAAUCUGCCUAUUAGUGGGGGACAACAUCUCGAAAGGGAUGCUAAUACCGCAUACGUCCUACGGGAGAAAGCAGGGGAUCACUUGUGACCUUGCGCUAAUAGAUGAGCCUAAGUCGGAUUAGCUAGUUGGUGGGGUAAAGGCCUACCAAGGCGACGAUCUGUAGCGGGUCUGAGAGGAUGCUCCGCCACACUGGGACUGAGACACGGCCCAGACUCCUACGGGGGGCAGCAGUGGGGAAUAUUGGACAAUGGGCGGAAGCCUGAUCCAGCCAUGCCGCGUGUGUGAAGAAGGCCUUUUGGUUGUAAAGCACUUUAAGCGAGGAGGAGGCUACUUAGAUUAAUACUCUGGGAUAGUGGACGUUACUCGCAGAAUAAGCACCGGCUAACUCUGUGCCAGCCGCCGCCGUAA